RNAcentral lists this ribosomal RNA (428 nucleotides) under uncultured bacterium. RNAcentral describes it as "bacterial SSU rRNA". It matches the Rfam family "Bacterial small subunit ribosomal RNA", at positions 355 to 776 of the family's 1533-position model. The record is from RNAcentral.
UGGGGAAUUUUCCGCAAUGGACGAAAGUCUGACGGAGCAAUGCCGCGUGAAGGAUGAAUGUUUUCGGAUUGUAAACUUCUGUGAUAUGGAAAGAAAAAAGAGGAUAGUAAAUGAUCUUCUCUUGACGUUACCAUAUUAGAAAGUCACGGCAAACUAUGUGCCAGCAGCCGCGGUAAUACAUAGGUGGCAAGCGUUAUCCGGAUUUAUUGGGCGUAAAGAGUGCACAGGUUGUUAUAUAAGUCUAAUGUCUAAUUCUGCGGCUCAACCGCAGCCUGCAUUAGAAACUGUAUGACUAGGAUAUCGGUGGGGUAAGUAGAAUUUCAUGUGUAGCGGUGGAAUGCGCAAAUAUAUGAAGGAAUACCAAUGGCGAAGGCAGCUUACUGAACGAUUAUCGACGCUUAAGCACGAAAGCAUGGGGAGCAAAUAGG